AAAAAUGUUAAUUUUAAUUAUAUGAACGAUUAUUAGAACUGGUAAUUAAUUAGUAAACAAUAAACUAAUAAAAAAUAUUAAUUUAUUUCAAAAAUGUGAUUAUUAAACAUUUUUCCUGAUAUUCGAGGCUGAAAGUGAAGCAUCAAGAAAGUGAAAAUAAGUUUAAGAAACUGUUGAGUGCUAUAAGGAGUCUUCCUGUUCGUGUGGGCCUUACCUGGGGGGUUAAGGACGAGUGCCAUAAGGUGUGUUGGGGCACGCGACUGGUGGGAGGGUCAGCACGCUCUACUGAUUCUAUAAACCACCCUCAACAUUUCAGAGCAUCCUCGUUGGUCUUCAACAGCGGUUCGUUUUGUGAGAAUCUCCCGGAAAAACUCACAUUUCCUUUCACUUUCAAUCCUAUACGAAAAUCACCCGAAAAAAAUGCUAAAAAUAACA
Molecule: long non-coding RNA, 435 nt
Organism: Leptopilina heterotoma
Lineage: Eukaryota; Metazoa; Arthropoda; Insecta; Hymenoptera; Figitidae
Exons: 2
Source: RefSeq, a predicted model, not a curated record